RNAcentral lists this ribosomal RNA (500 nucleotides) under uncultured Glomeromycotina. RNAcentral's name for it is "partial small subunit ribosomal RNA". It matches the Rfam family "Eukaryotic small subunit ribosomal RNA", at positions 591 to 1092 of the family's 1831-position model. Lineage: Eukaryota; Fungi; Glomeromycota. The record is from RNAcentral.
CCAAUAGCGUAUAUUAAAGUUGUUGCAGUUAAAAAGCUCGUAGUUGAAUUUCGGGGUUAGUAGGUUGGUCAUGCCUCUGGUAUGUACUGAUCUCACUGAUUCCUCCCUCUUGACGAACUGUAAUGUCAUUAAUUUGGUGUUGCAGGAAAUCAGGACUGUUACUUUGAAAAAAUUAGAGUGUUUAAAGCAGGCUAAGGCUUGAAUACAUUAGCAUGGAAUAAUGAAAGAGGACGUUUGAUCCUAUUUUGUUGGUUUCUAGGAUCGACGUAAUGAUUAAUAGGGAUAGUUGGGGGCAUUAGUAUUCAAUUGUCAGAGGUGAAAUUCUUGGAUUUAUUGAAGACUAACUACUGCGAAAGCAUUUGCCAAGGAUGUUUUCAUUAAUCAAGAACGAAAGUUAGGGGAUCGAAGACGAUCAGAUACCGUCGUAGUCUUAACCAUAAACUAUGCCGACUAGGGAUCGGAUGAUGUUAAUUUUUUAAUGACUCAUUCGGCGCCUUACG